GGAUGGUCUCAGUGCAGAGGUGUUUACAACAAACUGAUCACAGCCAGUUACAGAUUUCUUUGUCUUUCUCCACUCCCACUGCUUCAUCUGACUAGCCUUAC
This 101-nucleotide Y RNA is filed under the name Colobus angolensis palliatus. Its description in RNAcentral is "Y RNA (ENSCANG00000017410.1)". It matches the Rfam family "Y RNA". From Rfam's summary of the family: Y RNAs are components of the Ro ribonucleoprotein particle (Ro RNP), in association with Ro60 and La proteins. The Y RNAs and Ro60 and La proteins are well conserved, but the function of the Ro RNP is not known. In humans the RNA component can be one of four small RNAs -- hY1, hY3, hY4 and hY5. The record is from Rfam by way of RNAcentral. Lineage: Eukaryota; Metazoa; Chordata; Mammalia; Primates; Cercopithecidae.